AUAUAUAUAUAUAACGAUAGAACGUGCUUGUAGUUGUAAUGCAAGUUUUAAAUGUGUAUACAUGACAUACGAAUUUCAAAGUGUUAAAAUAUAUACUGUUAAAAGGUCAAAGAGUCUCGUUUUGAUAAUUUUCAGUGAGUGAUUUUCAAGAGUGAUUUUGUCGCCGUUUUUGGAGUUGAUUCAACACUUUUAGCGUUGAUCCAACUCCUUGAAAUUUACAGUGCGGUUGCGUCCAUAUACUCGUCUAAUCAUGCACGAACAUUUUAAUUUAGAGCUAUAUAUUCUCUAGGCCACUGAUCCAUGGUUUAUGCAGUUAAUUUAUUCAUGAAAGCAUUAUUACCUUGAAUUCAUUACUAACUUGUCAAAUGGCUAUCGUAAUGAAGUGAAGUUAACGCACUGUCUUCGACUGGUAAAUUUAAAUAAAAAUACCAUUCAAUGACAGUGAUUAGGCUUCAGUGUGAAGCAUGUUCAGACUUUAGAUAAAGUUAUGUUAAAUCUAUUUUUUCUUCCUUUAUGUUUUUAGUGCAGAGUUUCUUUGAAACUGCAUGUGCACUAUUGUGAUGAGUGGCGAAAAUUCACAUCAGUCGUCAGCCAGUCAUACAAUCAGUCAGUCAAUCAGUCAUAGUGUAAACUUUGUGGGGGGAGUGUAUUAUGUGAAUACAAUUUAUGUUUGUAGUGAUUUAUUGUGCUUUGAAGGUUAUUCAGGC
Paramuricea clavata is the source of this 707-nucleotide non-coding RNA. The record is from the annotation of a GenBank genome assembly. NCBI's taxonomy places the organism in Eukaryota, Metazoa, Cnidaria, Anthozoa, Malacalcyonacea, Plexauridae.